RNAcentral lists this ribosomal RNA (2911 nucleotides) under Serratia fonticola. Its description in RNAcentral is "23S ribosomal RNA". It matches the Rfam family "Bacterial large subunit ribosomal RNA". The record is from RNAcentral. Lineage: Bacteria; Pseudomonadati; Pseudomonadota; Gammaproteobacteria; Enterobacterales; Yersiniaceae.
GAGGUUAAGUGACUAAGCGUACACGGUGGAUGCCUAGGCAGUCAGAGGCGAUGAAGGGCGUGCUAAUCUGCGAAAAGCGUCGGUAAGGUGAUAUGAACCGUUAUAACCGGCGAUACCCGAAUGGGGAAACCCAGUGUGUUUCGACACACUAUCAUGUCAUGAAUACAUAGUGGCAUGAGGCGAACCGGGGGAACUGAAACAUCUAAGUACCCCGAGGAAAAGAAAUCAACCGAGAUUCCCCCAGUAGCGGCGAGCGAACGGGGAGGAGCCCAGAACCUGAAUCAGUUCUUGUGUUAGUGGAAGCGUCUGGAAAGUCGCGCAGCAAAGGGUGAUAGCCCCGUACACUAAAAUGCAUUAACUGUGAGUUCGAUGAGUAGGGCGGGACACGUGACAUCCUGUCUGAAUAUGGGGGGACCAUCCUCCAAGGCUAAAUACUCCUGACUGACCGAUAGUGAACCAGUACCGUGAGGGAAAGGCGAAAAGAACCCCGGCGAGGGGAGUGAAAUAGAACCUGAAACCGUGUACGUACAAGCAGUGGGAGCACCUUCGUGGUGUGACUGCGUACCUUUUGUAUAAUGGGUCAGCGACUUAUAUUUUGUAGCAAGGUUAACCGUAUAGGGGAGCCGUAGGGAAACCGAGUCUUAACUGGGCGACUAGUUGCAAGGUAUAGACCCGAAACCCGGUGAUCUAGCCAUGGGCAGGUUGAAGGUUGGGUAACACUAACUGGAGGACCGAACCGACUAAUGUUGAAAAAUUAGCGGAUGACUUGUGGCUGGGGGUGAAAGGCCAAUCAAACCGGGAGAUAGCUGGUUCUCCCCGAAAGCUAUUUAGGUAGCGCCUCGUGAAUUCAUCUUCGGGGGUAGAGCACUGUUUCGGCUAGGGGGCCAUCCCGGCUUACCAAACCGAUGCAAACUCCGAAUACCGAAGAAUGUUAUCACGGGAGACACACGGCGGGUGCUAACGUCCGUCGUGAAGAGGGAAACAACCCAGACCGCCAGCUAAGGUCCCAAAGUCAUGGUUAAGUGGGAAACGAUGUGGGAAGGCAUAGACAGCCAGGAUGUUGGCUUAGAAGCAGCCAUCAUUUAAAGAAAGCGUAAUAGCUCACUGGUCGAGUCGGCCUGCGCGGAAGAUGUAACGGGGCUAAACCAUGCACCGAAGCUGCGGCAGCGACGCUUAGGCGUUGUUGGGUAGGGGAGCGUUCUGUAAGCCGUUGAAGGUGGACUGUGAGGUCUGCUGGAGGUAUCAGAAGUGCGAAUGCUGACAUAAGUAACGAUAAAGCGGGUGAAAAGCCCGCUCGCCGGAAGACCAAGGGUUCCUGUCCAACGUUAAUCGGGGCAGGGUGAGUCGACCCCUAAGGCGAGGCUGAAAAGCGUAGUCGAUGGGAAACAGGUUAAUAUUCCUGUACUUGGUGUUACUGCGAAGGGGGGACGGAGAAGGCUAGGCUAGCCGGGCGACGGUUGUCCCGGUUUAAGCGUGUAGGGGGUGUGACCCGGUAAAUCCGGUUGCAUAUCAACCCUGAGGCGUGAUGACGAUGCACUACGGUGCAGAAGUAGUUGAUGCCAAGCUUCCAGGAAAAGCCUCUAAGCAUCAGGUAACAUUGAAUCGUACCCCAAACCGACACAGGUGGUCAGGUAGAGAAUACUCAGGCGCUUGAGAGAACUCGGGUGAAGGAACUAGGCAAAAUGGUGCCGUAACUUCGGGAGAAGGCACGCUGGCGCGUAGGUGAAGGGAUUUACUCCUGGAGCUGAAGCCAGUCGCAGAUACCAGCUGGCUGCAACUGUUUAAUAAAAACACAGCACUGUGCAAACACGAAAGUGGACGUAUACGGUGUGACGCCUGCCCGGUGCUGGAAGGUUAAUUGAUGGGGUCAGCCGCAAGGCGAAGCUCUUGAUCGAAGCCCCAGUAAACGGCGGCCGUAACUAUAACGGUCCUAAGGUAGCGAAAUUCCUUGUCGGGUAAGUUCCGACCUGCACGAAUGGCGUAAUGAUGGCCAGGCUGUCUCCACCCGAGACUCAGUGAAAUUGAACUCGCUGUGAAGAUGCAGUGUACCCGCGGCAAGACGGAAAGACCCCGUGAACCUUUACUAUAGCUUGACACUGAACAUUGAGCCUUGAUGUGUAGGAUAGGUGGGAGGCUUUGAAGUGUGGACGCCAGUCUGCAUGGAGCCAACCUUGAAAUACCACCCUUUAAUGUUUGAUGUUCUAACUCGGCCCCAUAAUCUGGGGUGAGGACAGUGUCUGGUGGGUAGUUUGACUGGGGCGGUCUCCUCCCAAAGAGUAACGGAGGAGCACGAAGGUUAGCUAAUCACGGUCGGACAUCGUGAGGUUAGUGCAAAGGCAUAAGCUAGCUUGACUGCGAGAGUGACGGCUCGAGCAGGUACGAAAGUAGGUCUUAGUGAUCCGGUGGUUCUGAAUGGAAGGGCCAUCGCUCAACGGAUAAAAGGUACUCCGGGGAUAACAGGCUGAUACCGCCCAAGAGUUCAUAUCGACGGCGGUGUUUGGCACCUCGAUGUCGGCUCAUCACAUCCUGGGGCUGAAGUAGGUCCCAAGGGUAUGGCUGUUCGCCAUUUAAAGUGGUACGCGAGCUGGGUUUAGAACGUCGUGAGACAGUUCGGUCCCUAUCUGCCGUGGGCGUUGGAAGAUUGAGAGGGGUUGCUCCUAGUACGAGAGGACCGGAGUGAACGCACCACUGGUGUUCGGGUUGUCAUGCCAAUGGCACUGCCCGGUAGCUAAGUGCGGAAAAGAUAAGCGCUGAAAGCAUCUAAGCGCGAAACUUGCCUCGAGAUGAGUCUUCCCUGGGCCUUUAAGGUCCCUGAAGGAACGUUUAAGACCAAGACGUUGAUAGGCUGGGUGUGUAAGUGCAGCGAUGCAUUGAGCUAACCAGUACUAAUGAUCCGUGAGGCUUAACCUUA